This is a long non-coding RNA of Mus musculus (house mouse), 182 nucleotides long. RefSeq annotates it as predicted gene, 35407. NCBI's taxonomy places the organism in Eukaryota, Metazoa, Chordata, Mammalia, Rodentia, Muridae. The record is from RefSeq and is a predicted model, not a curated record. The transcript has 3 exons.
UUCUGCCCGUCCCAGAAGCUGUCCCGAUGAUUCUGCCAAGACUGACUUACCUAUGAAGCUAUCUGCUGUUCCAGAAUGCUCAAUGAACAAACACCAGGGGUCUAGCAGCAGACAGAAACAGCAAGGCAUUUCUGUUGGGAGCUGUUCCUACAGCCCCUCUUCUCUUCCAGGUUUCCAAAAUG